This 484-nucleotide ribosomal RNA is filed under the name uncultured bacterium. Its description in RNAcentral is "partial 16S ribosomal RNA". It matches the Rfam family "Bacterial small subunit ribosomal RNA", at positions 30 to 507 of the family's 1533-position model. The record is from RNAcentral.
AUUGAACGCUGGCGGCAGGCCUAACACAUGCAAGUCGAGCGGAUGAAGGGAGCUUGCUUCUGGAUUCAGCGGCGGACGGGGGAGUAAUGCCUAGGAAUCUCCUUGGUAGGGGGGGAUAACGUCCGGAGACGGGCGCUAAUACCGCCGACUACGUGAGGCUGCAGCAGGGGGGGCUUCGGACCGCACGCUAGCAUGUGAGCUUAGGCCGGAUUAGUUAGUUGGUGGGGUAAAGGCCUACCUAGCCGACGAUCGGUAAGUGGUCUGCGAGGAUGAUAAGCCGCACUGGAGGUGAGCCACGGUCCAGACUACUGCGAGAGGGACCAGUGGGCAAUAUUGGACAGCAGUGGAAAGCCUGAUCCAGCCAUGCCGCGUCUGUGAAGACGGCCUUCGGAUUGUGAAGAACUUUAAGGUGGGAGGAAGGGCAGUAAGUUGAUACCUUGCUGUUUUGACGUUACCAACAGAAUAAGCACCGGCUAACUACGUG